This 252-nucleotide ribosomal RNA is filed under the name uncultured bacterium. RNAcentral's name for it is "partial 16S ribosomal RNA". It matches the Rfam family "Bacterial small subunit ribosomal RNA", at positions 524 to 776 of the family's 1533-position model. The record is from RNAcentral.
UACGUAGGCAGCAAGCGUUGUUCGGAGUUACUGGGCGUAAAGAGUGCGUAGGUGGUGCCCUAAGUCUGUUGUGAAAUCUCCCGGCUUAACUGGGAGGGUGCGGUGGAAACUGGGGUGCUUGAGUGUGGGAGAGGUAAGCGGAAUCCUGGUGUAGCGGUGAAAUGCGUAGAUAUCGGAAGGAACACCUGUGGCGAAAGCGGCUCACUGGACUACAACUGACGCUGAUGCACGAAAGCUAGGGGAGCAAACGGG